GGGGCAUGUGUGUACUAUGGACACAUUCUGGUUAAUUAUGCUAUAACGCACGGUCCAACCUCCUGCCGUCAUUGAACUUUUUCCAGGAAUAGGCCUGAAUCAAAUUCUACAGAAACUGGAUUCUUUUGCCAAGACAAAAGCAAUAUUCUUCAAAAUUUUUCUGGUUUUUGGUUGUCAUAUUUCAAAGCAAGACUGGUACCAUCACUUACCACACUCCCUCCUAGGUAUACUCC
This 233-nucleotide long non-coding RNA is filed under the name Mytilus galloprovincialis (Mediterranean mussel). Lineage: Eukaryota; Metazoa; Mollusca; Bivalvia; Mytilida; Mytilidae. The record is from RNAcentral.